RNAcentral lists this ribosomal RNA (233 nucleotides) under uncultured bacterium. RNAcentral's name for it is "partial 16S ribosomal RNA". It matches the Rfam family "Bacterial small subunit ribosomal RNA", at positions 96 to 334 of the family's 1533-position model. The record is from RNAcentral.
UGGCGGACGGGUGAGUAAUGUCUGGGAAACUGCCUGAUGGAGGGGGAUAACUACUGGAAACGGUAGCUAAUACCGCAUAACGUCGCAAGACCAAAGAGGGGACCUUAGGGCCUCUUGCCAUCGGAUGUGCCCAGAUGGGAUUAGCUAGUAGGUGGGUAAAGGCUCACCUAGGCGACGAUCCCUAGCUGGUCUGAGAGGAUGACCAGCCACACUGGAACUGAGACACGGUCCAG